UGUUUCCGGCUUUUGAAGUUAUGUCUGCCGAAAACCACAUCUGGUUCACCGCCGCCUCAACAGACACACAAUGAAAUACAAAAGGCUAAUUCUGCUGUGUACGCAAUCCAUGUUUCUUUCCCCAGAGGAUUCCAGAUGGAGUGAACUCAGUAGAGGCGGUGCUUCGACGGCUGAUGAUCUUGCGGAGAGGAGAGAGGAGCAUUAGUUACGGUUUUAAGUCCCGGCUGAACUGGCAGGGGUUACAUGACCUCAGACUCAGGGCCUUGUUAAGGAUGUGCAUGCUUCUCCUUUGCCUUCCACCGUGAUUGUAAGUUUCCUGAGGCCUUCCCAGCAAUGCAGAACCGUA
RNAcentral lists this long non-coding RNA (346 nucleotides) under Homo sapiens (human). Its description in RNAcentral is "non-protein coding lnc-NPIPA7-3:1". Lineage: Eukaryota; Metazoa; Chordata; Mammalia; Primates; Hominidae. The record is from RNAcentral.